GUCCACGCUGUAAACGAUGAUUACUCGGUGCUAGCGACAUACAGUUAGUGCCUAAGCGAAAGCGAUAAGUAAUCCACCUGGGGAGUACGGUCGCAAGAUUGAAACUCAAAGGAAUUGACGGGGGCCCGCACAAGCGGUGGAGCAUGUGGUUUAAUUCGAUGAUACGCGAGGAACCUUACCUGGGCUUAAAUGUAGAUUGACAGUUCUGGAAACAGUUCUUUCUUCGGACAGUCUACAAGGUGC
Molecule: ribosomal RNA, 243 nt
Filed under: uncultured bacterium
Lineage: Bacteria
Description: partial 16S ribosomal RNA
Rfam family: Bacterial small subunit ribosomal RNA
Source: RNAcentral